RNAcentral lists this unclassified non-coding RNA (220 nucleotides) under rhizosphere metagenome. RNAcentral describes it as "partial ribosomal RNA internal transcribed spacer region". The record is from RNAcentral.
GUAUUACUUUGAAGGGUUUUGAAGCUGGCCUUUACUGGCAUGUGCGCGCCCUUCUCAUACUUAUCCACAUAACACCUGUGCACCUCUGAUAAGUUUGUGUUGGUCUCGACUGAGGCAAGCUUAUCAUUUUUUACAUUUAAAUGCCUGUUUAUAAUGCAUGUCUUAUGCUCUAUGGAGCACACACAAAAAUACAACUUUCAACAACGGAUCUCUUGGCUUU